UACGUAGGAGGCAAGCGUUGUCCGGAGUGACUGGGCGUAAAGCGCCCGCAGGCGGUCCUGCACGUGGAAGCUGACAGCUCCCAGCUUACCUGGGAGAGUGUCUUCCAAACGGCGGGACUGGAGAGCGAGAGAGGGACAUGGAACUCCAGGUGGAGCGGUGAAAUGCGUAGAGAUCUGGAAGAACACCAAAGGCGAAGGCAGUGUCCUGGCUCGUGUCUGACGCUCGGGGGCGAAAGCUAGGGGAG
Molecule: ribosomal RNA, 245 nt
Filed under: uncultured bacterium
Lineage: Bacteria
Description: partial 16S ribosomal RNA
Rfam family: Bacterial small subunit ribosomal RNA
Source: RNAcentral